UACGAAGGGAGCUAGCGUUGUUCGGAAUCACUGGGCGUAAAGCGCACGUAGGCGGAUGUGUCAGUCAGGGGUGAAAUCCCGGAGCUCAACUUCGGAACUGCCCUUGAUACAGCACAUCUUGAGUCCGGAAGAGGUGGGUGGAAUUCCUAGUGUAGAGGUGAAAUUCGUAGAUAUUAGGAAGAACACCCGUGGCGAAGGCGGUUCUCUGGGACGGUACUGACGCUGAGACGCGAAAGCGUGGGGAGCGAACAGG
Molecule: ribosomal RNA, 253 nt
Filed under: uncultured bacterium
Lineage: Bacteria
Description: partial 16S ribosomal RNA
Rfam family: Bacterial small subunit ribosomal RNA
Source: RNAcentral